RNAcentral lists this non-coding RNA (274 nucleotides) under human gut metagenome. The record is from RNAcentral.
CGUUUGAACCGAACCUUUCCCGAAAGACUUUUCGCCGAGAAUGAUUGCCCGCUUAUGGUCUUGCAAAGCGCCGGCAACAAUUUCCGAAGCCGAAGCCGAACCGUCGUUGAUUAAUACCACAAUCGGCAGACCUUCGGCAAUGUCUCCGGCCUUGGCGGUAUAUUUGACCGUGUCUUCCGGAUUGCGUGAACGGGUCGAAACAAUUUCGCCUUUGUCCAGGAACAAGUCGGAAACGUUAACCGCUUGGUCGAGCAGGCCGCCCGGAUUGUUGCGA